This is an unclassified non-coding RNA of Pongo abelii (Sumatran orangutan), 117 nucleotides long. It matches the Rfam family "Metazoan signal recognition particle RNA". From Rfam's summary of the family: The signal recognition particle (SRP) is a universally conserved ribonucleoprotein. It is involved in the co-translational targeting of proteins to membranes. Lineage: Eukaryota; Metazoa; Chordata; Mammalia; Primates; Hominidae. The record is from Ensembl.
GCUGGGCAUGGUGGUGCACGCCUGUAAUCCCAGCUACUCGGGAGGCUGAGGUGGGAGGAUCACUUGAGGUCAGGAAUUCGAAACCAGCCUGGCCAACAUGGUGAAACCCCGUCUCUA